AUGCUGGUCACGCAAGCGCUGGGGCGGAGCACGGGGCCGGUGAACAUGGCGCGGCGCUUGAUGAGUAGCCGCGCGUGGUCCCUGUCGUCGCCGGCCUCCCCGCAGCCACGCUACCGGAGCAUCAUCACCGUGCUGAGCAUCGACGGCGGCGGCGUCCGUGGGAUCAUCCCCGGCACCAUCCUUGCUUUACUCGAAGAGAAGCUCCAGGAGCUCGAUGGGCCGGACGCAAGGAUCGCGGACUACUUCGACGUGGUCGCAGGGACGAGCACCGGAGGCCUGGUGGCCGCCAUGCUCAACGCGCCCAACCCCAAGGGCCGCCCGCUCUUUGCCGCCAAGGACGUCAACAAGUUUUACCUCGAGCACUGCCCGAAUAUCUUCCCUGCCAUCUGGGCCUAUGGUUUGGCUCAGGAGCAUGAUGGGGCCCAAGCGGUCGUGAAGGAGCUGCUCGGCGACACGCGAGUCCAUCAGACCCUCAAGAACAUUGUCAUUCCCACUUUUGACAUCAAGCUCCUCCAGCCUACCAUCUUUUCAACCUACGAUGCCAUGAGAGAUGUCUCCAAGAAUGCUCUUCUGUCGGACGUCUGCAUUAGCACGUCCGCCACGCCGACCUAUCUCCCCGGCCACCAUUUCGAGACCAAGGACAAAGACGGCAAGACCCGGGCCUUCAACCUAAUCGACGGAGGCGUCGUGGCUAACAAUCCGACGCUGUUGGCGAUGACCCACAUAAGCAAGCAGAUCCUGCUGGGAAACCUGGACUUCUUCCCCAACAAGCCUGCGGGUUACGGCAAGUUCAUGAUCCUUUCGCUGGGCACCGGCACCGCUAAGAUCGUAGAGAAGUUUGACGCAAUUGAGUGCGGCAAGUGGGCCCUUCUCGGGUGGCUCUACAAGAGAGGUGCCACGCCGAUCAUUGAUAGCUUCAGCGAGGCUAGUGUCGACCUCGUUGACAUCCAAGCAUCCGUGCUCUUUCAGACCCUGCACUGCAACAAGUGCUAUCUCCGGAUCCAGUACAACGAGCUCACCAGCGAAAUGGCCUCCGUUGACGUGUCCACAUCGAAGAACCUCAACGGGCUUGUUGGCGUUGGCAAAGCGCUGCUAAAGGGACAGGUGUGCAAGAUGAACGUCGAGACAGGCACGAAUGAGCCCGAUCUAAAGAGGGGCGCCAACGAGGAGGAACUAGUCCAUUUUGCCCGUAUGUUGUCGGAAGAGCGCGACACUCGGAAGGUGGGCUACAAACAUGGAUAG
Molecule: ribosomal RNA, 1242 nt
Filed under: Triticum aestivum (bread wheat)
Lineage: Eukaryota; Viridiplantae; Streptophyta; Magnoliopsida; Poales; Poaceae
Description: partial small subunit ribosomal RNA
Source: RNAcentral